UUUUCAGGUGAGGCAACUCAGGCCUUGUCCAAGGUCCCAAGGCAAGUGUAUAAUAAUCCCCUUAUGGUGAAAAUGACCAGAUUUCACUGAAAUACAUGAAAGAAAAGUUAAACUGUCAUUUUUUUCUGUACUGGAACUGCACUGAAUCUAUAGACAAUUUUGGGGAGAAUGAACACCUUUAUGAUAUUGAGUCUUUUAUUCCAAACAUGCUGCAUAAAGACACAUUUUUGUUGUAUUUACUCAUAGGUUAUUUAAGCAUAUGUAUAUAUUUCUGUUUGUUUGUUUUUGUUGCUAUUGUAAAUGGCACCUGUAAAAUUUGUGUUUUGUAACAAAUUCUUGCGGCUUUAUUAGAAAUGUAGUUGAGUUUUGUGUAUUGGUUUUGUGUCCACAUACCUUACUUAACUCUCUUAUUAAUAAUUUCCACAGGUCGUUUUUGGAUUUUGAGACAAUAUUUUCAUCCACAACUAAUAACAAUUUUCUCUCUCCCUUUCUUCUUUUAUAUUUCUUUUUCAUGUCUUGUUGUAUAGGUUAGGACCGUGAGUUUGAUGUUACAUAGAAGUGUAUGGUACUUGAUCUUAAAAGGAAUUCUUUCAGCACUGCUCCAUUAAGUAUGAUGAUUUUUGUAGGUGUUUCUGAUAGAUGCUGUUUAUCAUAUUAAAGAAGUUCUCUUCUAUUCCUGUUUUACUAAGUUUUUUUAAACCAUGAUUGAAUAUUGAAUUUUAUUGACUGCUUAUUUUUGUCAUUUAUUAAGACCCUCAUUUUGUUUUUCUCCUUUGAUCUGUUAUUGUGGUAAAUUACAUUAAUAGAUUUUCUAAACCAAUCUUGUAUUGCUGAGAUAAACCUAGCUUAAAUGUGACUUAUUACUAAAUAUUUAGGACUCUAAAUUUCCUUUUAAGGGUUGUAUUACUGUGUCUUAGUUAACUUGUGUAACAAAAAGCCACAGAUGAGUGGCUUAAAUAACAGAAAUUUAUUUCUCACAGUUCUGGAGGCCAGCAAAUUUGGUUCCCAGUGAGGGUUUUCUUCCUGGUUUGCAGAUGGCUGCUUUCUUGUUGUGUCCUCAUAUGGUGGAGAGAGAAAGAGCUCUGGUCUCUUCCUCUUACAGGGUUGCAAAUCCCAUCGUGGGGCUCCACUCUCAUUAUCUCAUCUAAAAACCUAAUUACCUCCCAAAGGCCCAUCUCUAAUCACACUGGGGGUUAGGGCUUCAACAUAUACAUUUGAGAGAGACACAAACGUUCAGUCAUGCUGCAUCUGAUAAUUUGUGAUAUGGAAUCUUUUUUAAAAAAAUAAUCACGAAUUGGGACUUCCCUGGUGGUGCAGUGCUUAAGGAUCUGCCUGCCGAUGCAGGAGACACAGGUUCAGUCUCUGGUCCAGGAAGAUCCCACGUGCCACGGAACAACUAAGCCCGUGCACCACAGCUACUGAGCCUGUGCUCUAGAGCCUGCGAACCACAACUACUGAGCCUGUGUGCCACAACUACUGAAGCCCGCAUGCCUAGAGCCCAUGCUCCACAACAAGAGAAGCCACUGCAAUGUGAAGGCUGCACACCUCAACAAAGAGUAGCCCCUGAUCUCUGCAACUAGAGAAGAGCCCCUGUGCAACAAUGAAGACCCAACACAGCCAAAAAAAUAAAUUAAAAAUUUUAAAAAGUCACCAAUUUCUAGGUAUUUUAAAAAUUCCACUAUGUUUUUUUUCCUUGACUUGUGUGUCCUUUAGAUGCAUGUUUUCUCAUUUGCAAACACAUGGGUUUUUUUCUGGUUGUCUUUUUGCUACUGAUUUCUAAUUUAAGUGCAUUGAGAUCAGAGAAUGUAGUCUGUAGGCCCCAAACUGGGUGAGGCCAGCAUUAUGGUCUAGUGCAUAAUUAAUUUUUGUAAAUGUCCCAUGUGUAUUUACAAAGCAUGUACAUUUCUCUGUUGUCAAGUAUAACAGUUUAUAAAUACCCAUUAGAUACAUUUUAAAAUUUACUCUUCAAUAUUUCUAUAUUCAACUGAUUUUUGUCUUCUUGGUUUACAAGUGCUGAAAGACAAAUAUUGAAAUCUCUCACUUUUUGGUGGAUUUAUCGAUUUCUUCUUAAAACCCUGUUAAGUUUUGUUUUGUAUUUUGAAGCUCUGUUACUGGGUGUAUGAAAGUUUAGAAUCAUUAUAUACACUUGUGAAUUAAACCGUUAUCACCCCUUAUAUAGUGAUCCUUGUUACCUCUGUGAUGCUUUUUGCUUUAAAGUCUAUUAUGUUUGAUAUUAAUAUUGCUACAUCAUCUUUUUGGGGGUAUGUAUAGCUUGGUAUAUGUUUUUCCAUUCUUUGAUUUUCAUUCUUUCUGUGUCCUUACAUUUGGGAGGAUCUCUAUUAAACAGUAUAAUUAGUAUCUUUAUCUUCCUCCCAAAUAAUGCAUGGAUCUCAACUCACUUUCAGUUUAAUCACAGCUUCCAGUUCAUGUGCUAUUAACAUGCAGUUUUUUAGCUUUAUUCUGUCCCCCCUCCCAACUUUAGAUGUUGUUGUUUUGUUUCAUGUAGUCAACAUUUGAUUAAAUUUACCAACAUAUUUAUUAUUUCAUAUUAUAUCCCAAAUCUUACUUCUAGAAUAAUUUUUCUUCUGUUUGAGGUUCAUCCUGUAGAAUUUCCUUCGGUUAAUGGAAUGUCGAUUUUAAACUCUCUCAAUUUUUGAUUAUCUGAAAAUGUCUUUACUUAGUUUAUGUCCUUGAAAGAUACUUUUUCCAGGUAUAAAGUUCUAGGUUUGACAGUUGUAUUGUCUUAAUACAGUGAAGAUAUCUGUAUUCGUUUCUCACUGCUGUUGUAACAAAUUAUCUUAGUGGCUUAAAACAACACACAUUUAUUUUCUCAUAGUUCUAGAGGUCAGGUGUCUGAAAUCAGGCUCGUGGGCUAAACUCAGGGUGUUGGCAGGGAUGUGUCCCUUCUGGAGGCUCUAGGAGAGAAUCCGUUCUUUGCCUCCUCCAGCUUCUAGAGGCCGCUGGUAUUCACUGACUUGUGGCCACAUCACUCCAGUCUCUGCCUUCUUCUAUCCUGUAGUCAUAUCCCCUCUGCCUCCCUCAAAUCUCUUGAAUACAUUGGACCCACUGAGAUGAUCUAGGAUAAUCUCCCCAUCUCAACAUCUUUAACUUGAUCAUAUUCAAAGAGUUCCUUUUACCAGGAAAGGCCACAUGUUCAUGGGUUCUGGGGAUUCAGAAGUUGACCUUUUUAGGGAUUAUGCAAUUUCCUACAUUAUUCCACUCACUUCUGGCUUUCAUUUUUGUCACCAAGAAGACAGCGGUUAAUAAAAUUCCUGGUCUCAUGAUCUUUUUCUUUGGAUGCUUUUAAAAUUUGCCGUAGCUGACAUUUUACUAUGAUGUGUCAGUUGUGAGUUUAUUUUGUUUAUCUUUCUUGUUGUGUUUUUAAAAGUCCAUUGUCUCUUUGAGUAUUUUAUCUUCUCCAUUUCUUCUGUUAUCUUCCCUUGACCCUCAGUUAAGCUGAAUGUUAGAUGUUCCACUCUUUCUUCUGUGCCCUUCAGUGUUUCUUUCUAUUUACAUUUCCUUUCUCUGGGCUGCACUCUGGGUAAUUUCUUCACUAAGUUUUUCUUCAGCUAUGUCUAAUAAGCUGUUUAAUACAUCCAUCCAUUUCUAUCUUCUACUUUAAAAAUGAUCAUACAGUAAAAUUUACUUUUAUUGAAGAGGAUGCCCAGUUCCAUGAAUUUUAACACACGUAUAGAUUCAUGUAGCCACCGCCACAAUCAGAACAGUCCUAUUACCCACAAACUCCCCCCUGCUGUUCCUUUAUAGUCAUGCUCUGGACCUACCUCCGAUCCGUUUUCCAUCACUUUAAUUUUGUCAUUUAUAGGAUGUCCUAUCGAUGAAGCUGUAUAGCAAGUAACCCUUUUAGACUAGCUUCUUUAACUCACCACAAUAUCUUUGAGAAUCAUUGAAAUUAUUGCAAGUUCUUCCUUUUUAUUUUUGGCCGGUAUCCGCUGCCUGGAUGUUCCGGAGCUUGCCCAUCCAUUCACCUAUCGAGGGACAUUUUAGUUGUUUCCAGUUUGGACAAUUAUGAGAAGAGCUUCCAUAAGCAUUUGCAUUAUGCGGGCCUCUCACCGUUGUGGCCUCUCCCGUUGCGGCGCACAGGCUCCAGACGUGCAGGCUCAGCGGCCAUGGCUCACGGGCCCAGCCAUUCCGCGGCACGUGGGAUCCUCCCGGACCAGGGCACGAACCCGCGUCUCCUGCAUCGGCAGGCGGACUCUCAACCACCGCGCCACCAGGGAAGCCCUAUUCUUUUUUUUAAAGUUAUUUUUUGCUUUUUUAGUUCUGUUGCCUUUCAAUAAAUAUUAGAGCAAAUUUGUCUAUAUCUACAAAAAUCAUGCGAGGAUUUUGUUUGGAAUUGCAUUAAAUCUAUAGAUCAGUUUGGGAGAAUUGACAUCUUUACUAUGUUGAGUUCCAAUUCAUUAACAUGUCAUCUCUCUCUAUUUAUUUAGAUUUUUUUUCAUUCCUUUCAUCCCCAUUUCACAGUGUACAGCAUAUAGAUAGAGUACAUUUUUGUUAGAUUUAUACCUAAGUAUUUAACUUUUUUAGGAGUUAUUGUAAAUCAUAUCAUUUAAAAAUUUUUAGUUUACAGCUGUGCAUUGCUAAUAUAUAGAAAUAUGAUUGAUUUUUGCAGAGUGACCUUGUACCUUAAGACCUUGCUAAACCCAGUUAAUAGUUCUAGGAGUUUUGGGGUUGUUUGUUUGUUUUUGUUGUUAUUGUAGAUUUAUUUGGAUUUUCUGUGCAGAUAGUCCUGUUGUCUGAGAAUAGGGGAAGUUUUAUUUCUUUCUUUCCAAUCUGUAUGCCUCUUAUUUCUUUUUCUUGCCUGUUGUACUAGCUAAGAUUUAUACUAUGAUGUUGAAUGGAGGUGGUGAGAGUGGAUGUCCCUGCCUUGUUCACAAUCUUUGGAAGAAAGUUGUUCACUAUAAAAUAUAAUGCUAGUUGUAAAAUUUUUGUAGAUACCCUUUAUCAGAUUAAGGAAAUUCCUUUCUCUUUGUAGUUAGCUGAGAACUUUAUCAUGAACGGGUGUUGAAUUUGUCAAAUGCCUUUUCUGUAUCACUUGAAUUGAUCAUGUAGUUUUUGCUUUUAGAAUGUUGAUAUAGUGGAUUCCACUGAUUGAUUUUUGAGUAUUGAACCAACCUUGCAUUCCCAGGAUAAACCACACUGGGUGGUGGUGUAUUAUUCUUUUUAUAUAUUCCUGAACUUUAUUUGCUAAUACUUUGUUGAGCCCUUUUGUGUUUAUGUUUACGUAGGGUACUGCUCUGUAGUUUUCCUUUCUGGUGCGGUCUUUGUUUAGUUUUGAUAUUGGGGCAAUGCUAACCCUAUAAAAUGUGUUGAGAUGUAUUCUCUCCUGUUUUAUUUUUUGGGACAUAUUGUGUGUAAUCGGUGUUAUUUUUUCUUUAGAAGUUUGGUAAAAUUAGCCAGUGAAGCCAUCUGGGUCUGGGGAUUUAUUUGGGGGAAACAAAUUAAACUAUGAAUUAAGUGUAUUUAAUAGUUAUAAGGCUAAUCGAGUUAUCUGUUUCAUCUUGGAUACAUUUUGGUCGUUUGCAUCUUUCAAGGAAUUUAUUUCAUCUAAGAUGUGGAAUAUUGUACAUAGGUUGUUCAUAGUAUUCCUUUGUUAGAUUUUCAAUGUCUAGGAAUUCUUCUUUUUUCUAUGUUAGUCUUACUAAAGCGUCAUCAAUCUUAUUGAUCUUUUUAAAGACCCAACUUUUGGGUUUAUUGAGUUUUCUCUUUUGUUUUUCUGUCCUUAUCUUUUUUAUGCCCUGUCUUCUGCUGCUUUUGGGUUUAUUUUGCUCUUCUUUUUCUAGUUUCUUGGGAAAAAAAAGCUUAGAUGACUGAUUUGAGACUUUUCUUAUAUAAGCAUUUAAUACUAUAAAUUUCCUUCUAAGCAUUGCUGUAGGUGCAUCUCACAAAUUUUGACAUGUCGUAUUUAUUUUUUGUUCUGUUCAAAAUGUCAUUUCAGUUUUCCCUAAGACUUCUCCUUUGAUUCAUUAAUUAUUUCAAAGUAUGUUGUUUAGUUUCCAAAUGCAUGGAUGUUUUCCUCUUCUCUCUGUUAUUAAUUUUCAGUUUAAUUGCAUUAUAGGAAAAACUUUGUAUGAUUUGAAUUCUUUUAAGUUUGUUAAGAUUUGUUUUAUUAUCCAGCACAUGGUCUGUCUUGGUGAAUGUGACCUUGAACACAAUGUGUUUUCUACUCUGUUGGGUAGAAUGUUUUAAAUGUCUAUUAGAUUUAGAUUUUAGUGGUAUAUUUCAGUUCUUUUCCACCCUUGCUGAUUUUCUAUUAGUUCCAUUAUUGAGAGAGGAGUGUUGAAGUCUCCAAGUCUAACUGUAGAUUUAUCUGUUUCUCUUUUUCACUUCCGUAAGUUUUUGCUUCAUGUGUUCUGAAACUCUGCUAUUAGGUGCAUAACACAUUAAGGGUUGUUGUUAUAUUAGUGGUGAAUUGAUCCUUUUUAUCAUUAUGAAGUGUCCCUUUUUAUCCCAAAUAUUUUCUUUGCUCCAGAGUCUCCUUUGUCUGAAACUAAUAUAACUACUCGACACCUAAAGAGUUUUAAAUUUUAUUAAUUAUAUUUUUUUCUAGAAAUUUUAUGUAGACUUUUUCAAAUCUCCUUGUUCAUUAUUUAUAGGUCCUCCCCUCAAUUACUUUUCAAGCUUCUCUUUUAUUUCUUUAAACAUAUGAAACAUGUUUCUAUUAUUUCUUAUGUUUGAUCAUUUCAGUUUUGAAAUCCGUCCAGGUUUAAUUCCACUGUUUGUUAUUUCUGCUGGCUUUUAUUCUAGUGUUUCGUAAUUUUUUACUGUGAGCUACUCAUUCUCCUUAAAGCUUUAUAGGAAUUUUUGGAGUCUGGGUUUGAAGCUGCAUCCACUAUCAUCUCCUCCAACAGCCUUGUUUGAGUGGAUUCCACUUCCAUUUUACAGAUAAGAAAAUUGAAACUCAGAACAGCUAAGUGACCUGCCCAAGGUCACCUACGCAGGAAGUGGCAGAUAAGACUCGAACCAAGGGCUUCUGACUCUGAAGUCCAUGUUCUUCCCCUGGUUUAUCACACCAAACCUCUUCUUGUUCAUAGGAAUCCUGCCUCUACUUCCACCCCAAUACUCCUGCAGGUUCCUCUUCCUUCCCUUUGCUUUCGGAUGGUGUGGCUAAACCCUGAGCUGCAGUCCUAUAACACAAAGGUUACCUGCAGAUGAACAGUGAGUACUACCUUUGUACAUUUCUCUUAAUUGCACAGACCAUUCUUUUCUCCCAUCGUCCUUUCUCAGGGUGGUUUGCUUUUGAUCUGGGCUGAUGUGAAUGAUCCUACGUGCUGGAGCCUGGCCAGACCCACUACAAAGCUGGUGCAAUGUUUGGAGAGAAGGAUGGUGGAAAAGCAAUCAUCCGAAGGAGGCUUUAUCAUGUGCCUUUUCAGACUCCCUGCAUCACUUCCCUUCUCUAUCCCUGGUGAUACCCAAACUCCAUGCCCUGGUUUGUGGGAUUCAGGUGUCUUGAUAGCUCCCUGGUGGUACCCAAACUCCAUGCCACAGUUUUUAGGAUUCGGGGAGAGUCCUGAUGAUGCUACCUGAUGAUGGGGAAAUUUUUAAGUUAAGGAGACAUUUAUAUAAUUAAAAAAAAAUUUUUU
This is a long non-coding RNA of Orcinus orca (killer whale), 7601 nucleotides long. RefSeq lists it as uncharacterized. The record is from RefSeq and is a predicted model, not a curated record. The transcript has 2 exons. NCBI's taxonomy places the organism in Eukaryota, Metazoa, Chordata, Mammalia, Artiodactyla, Delphinidae.